UACGAAGGGGGCUAGCGUUGCGCGGAUUGACUGGGCGUAAAGGGCGCGUAGGCGGUUCGUACAGUCAGACGUGAAAUUCCUGGGCUCAACCUGGGGGCUGCGUUUGAUACGUGCGGACUUGAGUGCGGAAGAGGGUCGUGGAAUUCCCAGUGUAGAGGUGAAAUUCGUAGAUAUUGGGAAGAACACCGGUGGCGAAGGCGGCGACCUGGUCCGAUACUGACGCUGAGGCGCGAAAGCUAGGGGAGCAAACAGG
RNAcentral lists this ribosomal RNA (253 nucleotides) under uncultured bacterium. RNAcentral describes it as "partial 16S ribosomal RNA". It matches the Rfam family "Bacterial small subunit ribosomal RNA", at positions 524 to 776 of the family's 1533-position model. The record is from RNAcentral.